GGAACGGCUGUGGCUCAGUGGGAGAGCAUCUGCUUGGCGUGCAGGUGGUCACAGGUUCGAUCCUCGGCACCUCCA
Molecule: transfer RNA, 75 nt
Filed under: Sphaerodactylus townsendi
Lineage: Eukaryota; Metazoa; Chordata; Lepidosauria; Squamata; Sphaerodactylidae
Description: tRNA-Ala
Source: RNAcentral